GAUGAACGCUGGCGGCGUGCCUAAUACAUGCAAGUCGAGCGAACAGACGAGGAGCUUGCUCCUCUGACGUUAGCGGCGGACGGGGGAGUAACACGUGGAUAACCUACCUAUAAGACUGGGAUAAAUUCGGGAAACCGGAGCUAAUACCGGAUAAUAUAUUGAACCGCAUGGUUCAAUAGUGAAAGACGGUUUUGCUGUCACUUAUAGAUGGAUCCGCGCCGCAUUAGCUAGUUGGUAAGGUAACGGCUUACCAAGGCGACGAUGCGUAGCCGACCUGAGAGGGUGAUCGGCCACACUGGAACUGAGACACGGUCCAGACUCCUACGGGAGGCAGCAGUAGGGAAUCUUCCGCAAUGGGCGAAAGCCUGACGGAGCAACGCCGCGUGAGUGAUGAAGGUCUUCGGAUCGUAAAACUCUGUUAUUAGGGAAGAACAAAUGUGUAAGUAACUAUGCACGUCUUGACGGUACCUAAUCAGAAAGCCACGGCUAACUACGUG
RNAcentral lists this ribosomal RNA (497 nucleotides) under uncultured bacterium. Its description in RNAcentral is "partial 16S ribosomal RNA". It matches the Rfam family "Bacterial small subunit ribosomal RNA", at positions 28 to 507 of the family's 1533-position model. The record is from RNAcentral.